Molecule: ribosomal RNA, 252 nt
Filed under: uncultured bacterium
Lineage: Bacteria
Description: partial 16S ribosomal RNA
Rfam family: Bacterial small subunit ribosomal RNA
Source: RNAcentral
ACGGAGGGGGCGAGCGUUAUUCGGAUUUACUGGGCGUAAAGCGCACGUAGGCGGCGAGGUAUGUCAAAGGUGAAAGCCCUCGGCUCAACCGAGGAAUUGCCUUUGAAACUGCUUCGCUUGAGUCCGGGAGGGGGGAGCGGAAUUCCCAGUGUAGCGGUGAAAUGCGUAGAUACUGGGAGGAACACCGGUGGCGAAGGCGGCUCCCUGGACCGGUACUGACGCUGAGGUGCGAAAGCGUGGGUAGCAAACAGG